GUUCAACGCUGGCUGCAGAGUCCAGACUCUAGGAGUUAUUAUAAGAGGAGGACUGAAACUAAGACCAAUAAAAUUUAAAACUCCCCCAAAGGCUUCUUUCCGACCCUCCCACCUCCGUUCAAGCCAAAGUAUUGGAAGCAGGUGGACAUGCAAAUCUGACCAUACAUACGUAGCCUCCUCCCAUCUUCCAGAACUUUCUCUCCAUCCAGAACUUUUCAAGGGCUCCUCAAUGACGGACAACAAGCACAGCCUGAGGGUUCAUGAAAGGCUUCCCAGGAGCUGAGUCUCUGUCCCCUUUGCCCAUGUGAUGAGUCUAGGAAGGGCUGGAAGACAGUCGUACACCGCAUGACGACGGUUCGGUCAACGACAGAUCGCAUAUACGAUGGUGGUCCCAUAAGAUUAGGACCUACAGCCUGGGUGUGUAGUGGGCUGUACCAUCUUGGUUUGUGCAAGCGAGGAAAUUGAGUGGCAGAGAAUUUGAAUAACUCUCCUGGCUUCUACUUCUGGCCAAACUGGAGAAACAGGGAUCCGAUUUACUCUGCUUCCUGAGACAACUGGAAAACCAAGCAACAGCCCUCAAGGUAUUGGAUGCUGGUCAACGAAGGACAGUGAUCCCCGAGAGAUGAGAAACAAAUGAGGUAAGACUCUCACAUGUUCCAGCUCACUGCCUGGAGGAAGUUUCCAGUCCACCGUGCAGAUGGCGGGACGCCAGCCAAGCCCAGCAGCCUCCUUGAAUUGAGGCUACAGAACUAGGAGUCCAAGGAAAUCAAGGUGGCUAGAGUUUGCAGAGCAGGGCACCUGAGAGAAGAGAACUUGACAGAGAGAGAACUCUGGGGCCCUGCAAAGGGUCAGUCACAAGUAUUCAGUUUACUGACAAGAGCAUGUGUCGCUGACGCCGGAGGAAGAACCACUCGAAAGAAUUAGAGACAACAUUGCUGAGAGCUCACACUGGGCUGGGAAUAGUGCCGUUCCCAACAGCCGGAGUGGAAAACGCUCAUAAUUUGUGGGGCAUGUGUUAAAGGCCUAGGAAGGGAACUGCCUCAUGAGGGGAGAAAACUAACACUAAUUACUAAUACAGCAAUACAGACUAUACAGUAGCAAUACAGUAAUUAGUAAUUACUAAUACAGACUAAUACUGCACUGAUCACGUCAAACGAAACUUACAAGAAAGCCCUGAAGGGGCCACAUUGCAUCCAGAUAACUGGACCACAUGCUGAAAAACAGCUCAAAAAUAUAUUUUAGAAAUGUUUACCUAUGACCUGGUCAGAGAAAAUGUUGACAUGGAUGGGCUAAAGGUGUAAAAAGCUGGAAAUGCAUUUUAUCAUUUCUGGUUCUAAGUGUACUAAAUUAAAAUGGUCUCUAUUCCAAUGUAUUUAUUUGUUUGUUUAGUACAACAAUGUCCAGCACACAGCAAGGUAAGAUGUAAAAUGUCUAGUAUCCAAUAAAAAAAACGUAGGCAUGCAAAAGCAGCAAAAUAAGGAGAAAAAUCAAUCAAAUCUGACCCAGAUGAUAAAAUUAGUAGAUAAGGACAUUAAAACAAUCUUUACAACUUUAUUUCAUAUGUUCUAGAAGCUAGAGGAAAGGUUAGAUGUGUUAAGUAGAUACAAGGAAGACUUAAAAAAAACCGAAACACCCAGAUUGAAGUUCUAGAGAUGAAAACUACAAUGUCAGAGACAAAAAUACGUCAGACGACCGUCAUGUUAGAUAUCAGUGAAGAUUAGUGAACUUGAUGACUUAUCAAUAGAAACUGUCCAAAACUAAGCAAAGAAAACACAAACUAAUCUAUUCUGCAGAAAGUGGAGCAGUGGAUUUCUGGGGAUGAACCUUAAGUGGGGGGUGAGUAGGGGCACGAGGAAGAUUUUGGAGGUGAUGGACGUGUUCCUUAUCUUGGUUGUGGUGAUGGUUUCCCAUGUGUUUACAUACAUCAAAACGUAUAAAAUUGUACACUUUG
RNAcentral lists this long non-coding RNA (1951 nucleotides) under Equus caballus (horse). RNAcentral's name for it is "lncRNA (ENSECAG00000053122.1)". Lineage: Eukaryota; Metazoa; Chordata; Mammalia; Perissodactyla; Equidae. The record is from RNAcentral.